CGCGGGGCGGCAACGUCCUGGCGGCGACCGGCGGAAGGGNGCGUAACGCGUGAGCGACAUGCCCGUUGCCCGGGGACAACCGGUGGAAACGCCGACUAAUCCCCGAUGGGACGGAGGCCCUCAUGGGUCUCUGUUGAAAGUUACGGCGGCGACGGAUUGGCUCGCGUCCGAUUAGCUUGUUGGCGGGGUAACGGCCCACCAAGGCUACGAUCGGUAGGGGUUCUGAGAGGAAGGUCCCCCACAAUGGAACUGAGACACGGUCCAUACUCCUACGGGAGGCAGCAGUGAGGAAUAUUGGUCAAUGGGCGGAAGCCUGAACCAGCCAUGCCGCGUGCGGGAAGGAGGCCCUAUGGGCUGUGAACCGCUUUUGCCUGGGGGCAAUAAGGGCGUCGUGCACGUCCGAUGAGAGUACCAGGCGAAUAAGCAUCGGCUAACUCCGUGCCAGCAGCCGCGGUAAUACGGGGGAUGCGAGCGUUAUCCGGAUUCAUUGGGUUUAAAGGGUGCGUAGGCUGUGCGUCAAGUCAGGGGUGAAAUUCCGGGGCUCAACUCCGGGGCUGCCCUUGAUACUGUCGCGCUGGAGUGCGGAUGCCGCCGGAGGAAUGAGUGGUGUAGCGGUGAAAUGCUUAGAUAUCACUCAGAACACCGAUUGCGAAGGCAUCUGGCGAAUCCGUAACUGACGCUGAGGCACGAAAGCGUGGGG
This 700-nucleotide ribosomal RNA is filed under the name uncultured Bacteroidota bacterium. RNAcentral describes it as "bacterial SSU rRNA". It matches the Rfam family "Bacterial small subunit ribosomal RNA", at positions 70 to 766 of the family's 1533-position model. Lineage: Bacteria; Pseudomonadati; Bacteroidota. The record is from RNAcentral.